Molecule: ribosomal RNA, 492 nt
Filed under: uncultured bacterium
Lineage: Bacteria
Description: partial 16S ribosomal RNA
Rfam family: Bacterial small subunit ribosomal RNA
Source: RNAcentral
AGUGAGCGCUGGCGGUAGGCCUAACACAUGCAAGUCGAACGGCAGCACAGUAAGAGCUUGCUCUUACGGGUGGCGAGUGGCGGACGGGUGAGGAAUACAUCGGAAUCUACUUUUUCGUGGGGGAUAACGUAGGGAAACUUACGCUAAUACCGCAUACGACCUACGGGUGAAAGCAGGGGAUCUUCGGACCUUGCGCGAUUGAAUGAGCCGAUGUCGGAUUAGCUAGUUGGCGGGGUAAAGGCCCACCAAGGCGACGAUCCGUAGCUGGUCUGAGAGGAUGAUCAGCCACACUGGAACUGAGACACGGUCCAGACUCCUACGGAAGGCAGCAGUGGGGAAUAUUGGACAAUGGGCGCAAGCCUGAUCCAGCCAUACCGCGUGGGUGAAGAAGGCCUUCGGGUUGUAAAGCCCUUUUGUUGGGAAAGAAAAGCAGCAGGUUAAUACCCCGCUGUUCUGACGGUACCCAAAGAAUAAGCACCGGCUAACUUCGUG